RNAcentral lists this long non-coding RNA (2351 nucleotides) under Mus musculus (house mouse). Its description in RNAcentral is "long non-coding RNA chr16:28608746-28611097". Lineage: Eukaryota; Metazoa; Chordata; Mammalia; Rodentia; Muridae. The record is from RNAcentral.
AAAUGGCGAAGUUGCCAGGAAGUGAGCCCUUCAAGUCAGUGGGCACCUCCUAAGGAUUUCUCGGACUUGUGUGUGUGUUCUAGCUUCCUUCCUGUGGCUCUGAUACAAACUCUGGCCCAAAGCAACUCGAGGAGAAAAGGUACUUUUUUUUUUUUUUUAAUUUUUUUUUCCCCUUAACAUACCUAGAUCACAGUCCGUCAUAGAGGGAAGUGAAGGCAGGAACCAGGAGUCAUGACCUGAAGCAGAGGCCACAAAGGAAUGUAGCUUCCUGCCUUCCUCUCCUGGACUUACUCAACUUGCCAGGGUUUCAUUUACUUAUAUAGUCAAGGGGUGGCACUGCUCACAGUGUUUGGGACUCUCCCAUAUUGAUCAUAAAUAAAGUGCCCCACGGACUUGCUAACAGGCCACUCAGAGGGAGGCAAAUCCUACCUUUUGGUUCCUUCUGCCCAGAUUACAUGACUUGUGUCAAGUUGACAUACAACUAGUCAAUACAGCAACAUGAUUAUUCUCACUUCUCUUCGACCUCACAUGAAACCAUCCUGCUUUCUACACAAACACUCUCAUUUCUGUUCCCAUUUUGUAUAUGUAAAUAUAUACUCAUAGGAAUGUUUACACAGACUAUACAUUAGGACUUUUGUUGGAAACAGAGGUCCUGGGAAGCCUAGAGACACACCGGGGCCUUGCCUCAAACAGAGAUUUUCUGUUCACAGCAACAGAAUCUAAGUGUGGACUCAAAGCUUGAGGUGCUGUUUCAUCUACUGCAUGGCUAUCAACCUGUGCAUCGUUACCCCUUUUGGGGGGAUAGGUUGAACAACCCUUUCAUGGGAGCCACCCAAGACCAUCAUGAAACACAGAUAUUCACAUUAUCAUCCAUAACGGUAGCAAACUUACAGUUAUGAAGUAGCCAUGAAAUACUUUUAUGAUUGGAGCUCACCACAACAAGGUGUGCAAGGGUUGCAGCAUUAGGAAGGUUGAGACCCACUGGCCUUAUACAUUGCUUAGCUGUUGUCCCAGAUUCUUCGAAAACUGUUUUACAUAAGAGACUCAGCUGUCUUCAGUUACGUACCAACAUGCCAGCCACAUCUCUUACAUCUAGGGAGUCUCUGUGCUACCUCUUUUCUUAUCACUAAGCUGGAAAUGAUGCAAGGGAGGCGGGAGGUAGAGUUUCAUAGUAGACUUCUUGCCUUGUGUCCAUAUGGUACUGGGUUCAAUUCUCACUAUAGGAAAACACUUAGGCUCAUAGUUUUGGGGCUCUUUUCUACCCAAGUGGAGGAAGCAUGGCUAUGGGACCAUCGCCACCCAUGUUGACAGGCAUAGGAAGCUGGUAAGUAACAUGGGGGUGGGGGGCAGGAAGCAGAGUUCAAGCUGGAAUCAAGGGUCAACCAUAACCAGCCCACAAGACCCUCCAGUUCCCAUUCAAAGUCCCAACUCCUCAAAGUUCCACAACAAAGUUCAAAGUGUUGAGGGAGAGGGAGCACCAAGGACUAAGUGUUCAAACACAUGUACUUACUUAAAGGGGGAAUUUCAUACUCUAACUGUAAGAUCAUCUAGCCUGGUCCAUUUCACUAAAAUUGGUUGAAAAAAAUCUGAUCCUCAUUCCCUGUAUCCUUCGUGGUUGUACCAGGCUCUCCUCGCUGUCUGUUCCUUGAGCCUUAUUCACUUCUAAGAGUCUUUCCUUUCUUUGCAGCCUCUACUUAGCUGAGCCAACUCUUCGGAAGCCUCUCUUGGGCAACCCCUCACUGGUGCCCUUCCUUCCUUGAUGCACACUUGCAAAGCUGUCAUCCAAAUUCCGUUCCUCUACAAAUGAUGCCUUUCUGGUCUCCAGGUAGCUCUGCAUAGGGCAUAUUAGCGUCAAUGAUUCACAACCGUGCUUAGUUAUGUGCACUGUUGCAGCGAGGGGAUUGGUAAAAGACUGCCCUGCAGCUAUUUACAGGUCAGUUCCCCCCAGGAAUUAGGCUUAUUCUGUUGGACAGAAUGAGUGAGAAGAAGCCACUCUGCUUUCAAUAAAGCCAGAGUGCUAACAGCUGAAGCUGAGUCAAGAUGUAAGGAGCAAACUGUGGGUCAACUUAGUUCUUUUUCAGGUCAGUUAUAAAUAUUUGUAGAAUGUCUCCUACGUGCCGGGCCCUGUGUUUCCUGCCUGCUUGGGCUAACUUCGCUGACUUGACUUUAGACCUCAUAAAAAGCUUGGAAAGCAGAAGAUAAAAAAACCUAAAUUCCUGGACCUGAUCUCCAGAUUGUCUGCACUAGGCAACAGAUUCACCCGUUUUAGCCCUUUUCCAGCUGUGGGGGUGAGAAGGGGCACUUUCAAGUCUUGGCAUAUACAAUUAAAUCCAACUGUGCUGUGGUUUGGC